Long non-coding RNA from Ipomoea nil (Japanese morning glory), 178 nucleotides. RefSeq lists it as uncharacterized. NCBI's taxonomy places the organism in Eukaryota, Viridiplantae, Streptophyta, Magnoliopsida, Solanales, Convolvulaceae. The transcript has 2 exons. The record is from RefSeq and is a predicted model, not a curated record.
UCUACUUUCAGUGCUCUGCCUUCAGAUUGAAUUGUCUUCAGAAGAAUUUCCCAUGUAAUCGGGAAAAUCCCAUUUACUCUAGCUUUGCUAUUAAGUGUGGUGGUCAAGAAAUAACGUCGUCUAACCAGAUAGUGUAUGAGAGGGAUAAUGAGACUCUUGGUCCGACAACAUAUUACAU